UACGGGGGGGGCAAGCGUUGUUCGGAAUUACUGGGCGUAAAGGGCGCGUAGGCGGCCUGCUAAGUCGGACGUGAAAUCCCUCGGCUCAACCGAGGAACUGCGUCCGAUACUGGUGGGCUUGAAUCCGGGAGAGGGAUGUGGAAUUCCAGGUGUAGCGGUGAAAUGCGUAGAUAUCCGGAGGAACACCGGUGGCGAAGGCGGCUUCCUGGACCGACACUGACGCUGAGGCGCGAAAGCUAGGGGAGCAAACGGG
RNAcentral lists this ribosomal RNA (253 nucleotides) under uncultured bacterium. RNAcentral describes it as "partial 16S ribosomal RNA". It matches the Rfam family "Bacterial small subunit ribosomal RNA", at positions 524 to 776 of the family's 1533-position model. The record is from RNAcentral.